AAGUAGACGCAAUUAAACAUGAAGGAUUGUGAAGGCAAAAGAUGAACCAGCCAGCCUAGUCUCUGGAUGCAUAAGCUCCAAGUGUGGAGGAGACCCGGAGAGAAAAGCAGACUGUUCUCUGUGUUUACCUGUAAGCACAGGCCGCAACCUGCCAUGCUGUUUUUAAAUGCCCAAGAGCUGGUGACAAGAGGGUUUCCCUUUGCCAUCUGGACCUGAUUGCCUUAGAGCAUCCUACCCAGCUUCUAAUCUAAGCUCAAACACACCCUCCUUCAGGAAGAUUUGCUGUUCUACCUUCUCCCCACCAAGCAGAGUGAAGGGAUUCUUCUUUGGAACUCCCACUCUCCUUUAUUUAUCUCCAGAUGGAUGAAAAAGGAAGAGGGUUUCUGUUUUGCUAAAAGCCCUCUGUGAAAGUCGACAUUGCAAACCACAGUGACACGUGGAUAAAACUCACGUUGUUGGGGGGAGAAGAGCAAAACAUAUGCUUCACAAUAAAAACACUCAGUAUCCUAGGAAUAGGAGGGAACUUCCUCAACCAGAUAAAGGGCAUCUAUGAAAAACCCAGAGCUAACAUCACACUUAAUCGUGAAAGACUGAAAGCUUUCCCUCUAAAAUCAGAAACAAGAAAAGGAUGUCUACUACUGCCACUGCUAUUCAACAUUGUUCUGGAAAAUUCUAGGCAGAACAAGUAGGCAAGAGAAAAGAAGAGGUAUCCAGAUUGGAAAGGAAGAAAUAAAACUGUCUCUGUUUGACAGUUGUCAUAACCUUGUACAUAGAAGAUUAUGAAGAAGCUACCAAAAACUAUUUGAAUGACUAAACAAGUUUAGUAUGGUUGCAGGAUACAAGAUCAAUAUGCAAAAACCAGCUGUAGUUCUUCUAUAUGUUGAAAAGAAGAAAAUUUAGAACGAAAUUAAGAAAAAUUCAUUCACAAGAGCAUCAAAAAGGAUAAAAAAUAAGGCCAGGCAUGGUGGCUCAUGCCAGUUAAUCCCAGCACUAUGGGAGGCUGAGGAAGGAGGAUCACUCAAGCCCAGGAGUUUGAGACCACCUGAGCAACACGGCAAGACUCUAUCUCUACCAAAAAUUUUAAAAAAUUAGCCAGGUGUAGUGGCCAUGCCUGCAGUCCUAGUUACUCAGGAGGUUGAGGUGGGAGGAUCACUUGAACUCAGGAGAUUGAGGCUGCAGUGAGCUAUGAUCUGGCCACUGUACUCCAGCCUGGGUGUCAGAGAGAGAGACCCUGUCUCUAAAUGAAAAUAAAUAAAUACAUAAAAUUUUAAAAAAGAAUGAAAUACUUAGGAAUACAUUUAACCAAAGAAGUAUGAGGCUUUUUACAUUGCAAAACUAUAUAACAUUGUUGAAAGAAACUAAAGAAGACCUAAAUAAAUGGAAAGACAUCCCAUGUUUAUAGAUGGAAAAGUUUAAUAUUAAGAUAGCAAAACUUCUCAAAUUGAUCUACAGAUUCAAUGCCAUCCUUUCAAAAUACCAGCUAACUUUUUUGCAGAAGUUAACAAACCAAUCCUAAAAUUCAUAUGGAAAUUCAAGAGAAUCAGAGCAGUUAACCUUCAAAAAGAACAAAGUUGGAGGGUUCAUACUUCCUGAGUACUAAAACUUAGUACAAAGCUAUAGUAAUCAGAUACUAUGAAAUUGACAUAAGGACAGACAUAUAGAUCACUUGACUAGGCUUGACAGUCCAGAAAUAAACCUUCACAUUUCUGAUCAAUUGAUUUUCUACGAGGCAGCCAACACAAUUCUGUUUUAAAUAUGGUGGUAGGACAACGGAGUAGCUACAUUCAAAAGAAUGAAGUGAGACCCUUAACUCACACCAUAAACAAAAACUAAUUCAAAAUGGAUCAAAGACCUAAAUGCAAGCAUUAAAACUAUAAAACUCUUAGAAGAAAACAUAGGAGGAAAUCUUCAUGACCUUGGAUUAGUCAAUGGAUUCUAAGAUAUGAUACCCAAAGCAUAAGCAACAAAAGAAAAAAUAGAAAAAUUGGACUUUAUUUUUUUAAGAGAUGGGGUCUUGUUAUGUUGCCCAGGCUGGACUUGAAAUCCUAGGCUCAAGUGAUCCUCCUACCUCAGCCUCCUGAGUUGCUGGGACUACAAACAUGUACCGCCAUGCCCAGCUAAAUUGGACUUUAAAAUGGAAAACUUUUGUGCUUCAAAGACGUCAAAAAAGUGAAGACAACCCACAGAAUGAGAGAAAAUUUUCACAAAUUGUAUAUCUGAUAAGAGACUUGUGCCUAGAAUCUAUAAAGAAUGAUUACCACUCAAUAAUAAAAAGACAAAUAACCCCAUUAAAAACAGGCAAAGGAUCUGAAUAGACGUUUCUCCAAAGAAGAUAAAUAAAUGGCCGAUAAACACUUGAAAAGAUGCUCAACAUCAUUUGCCAUCAGGGAAAAGCAAAUCAAAACCAUGAUGAGAUGAUGAGAUACCACUUCACACCCACUAGGGUGGCUAUAAUAAAAAAGACAGAUCGUAAUAACUGUUGGCAAGGAGGUAGUGAAAUUCGAACCAUCAUCACACAUUGCUGGUGGGAAUGUAAAGUAGCACAGAGCUUUGAAAAACUGUUUGGCAGUUUCUCAAAAACUUAGAGUUACCAUAUGACUCAGCAACUUCCCUCGUAGGUAUAUAGAAGAGAAAUGAAAACAUAUGUCCACACAAAAACUUGUACAUGAAUGUUCAUAGCCGUAUUAUUCAUAAUAGCCAAAAGUGGAAAUCACCCAAAUGGUAAACUGAUGAGUGAAUAAAUAAAAUGUGCUUUAUACAUAUGAUGAAACAUUCUUUGUCAAUAAUGAAGAACUGAUCCCUGCCGCAACAUGGGGGAACUUAAAAGCAUGAUGUUAAGUGAAGGAAGUCAGAUUCAAAGGUCCAUGAUUCCAUUAUAAAUGGCAUUCCAUCUGUGGAAUUCCAUAUAUGGAACGUCUAGAAUAGGAACACUUCCUUUCUAUAGAGACAGAAAGGAAAUUAGGAGUUGCCAAGAGAGGAUGGGGAGACUGGUGGGUGAUGGCUGAGAAGGUGGCCGUGUUUCUUUUUGGGGUAACGAAAGUGUUCUGAAAUUGAUUGUAGUGAUGGCAGUACAACUCUGAAUUUACUGAAAGCCAUUGACUUGUACAUUUUAAAUUGGUGACUUGUACGGUGUACGAAUUACAUCUCAAUAAAGCUGGUUUUCUUUUCUUUGUUUCUUUAUUUUAAUAGACAGGGUCUCACUCUGUUGCCCAGGCCGGAGUGCAGUGGUGCGAUCAUAGCUCACUGCAGCCUUGAACUCUUGAGCUCAAGCAAUCCCCCCACCUCAGCCUCCCAAGUAGCUGAGACUAUAGGCAUUUGCCACCAUACCCAGCUAAUUUUGUUUAUUUUUUGUAGAGAUGAGGUCUUGCUAUGUUGCCCAGGCUGGUCUUGAACUCCUUGGCUCAAGUAAUCCUCUUGCCUUGGCCUUCCAAAUUGCUGGAAUUACAGGCAUGAGCCACCACACCC
Molecule: long non-coding RNA, 3465 nt
Filed under: Homo sapiens (human)
Lineage: Eukaryota; Metazoa; Chordata; Mammalia; Primates; Hominidae
Description: LHRI_LNC85.2
Source: RNAcentral